AUAAUGGUACUUCCGGAAACGGCUCGGAGAGAUCCUCGGAGGGGGUGAGAUUCCCGUGA
This 59-nucleotide non-coding RNA is filed under the name unclassified sequences. RNAcentral's name for it is "pemK RNA". It matches the Rfam family "pemK RNA". The record is from RNAcentral.